GACAAUGACAAGAUUUGAAGCUUUCUGCACUUUCCUAGGUUUGGUGGAAUAACACCAUCUAGGUUGUUAACUGGGAUGUGAAGAACUUCCAAGUUUGGAAGAUUUUCACAUAUAGUUGUUGGAAGAUUACCAGCAACAUUGUUUUCGAAAAGAGUAAUGAUCCGCAUUGUCGUAAUGUUAAAGAUUGAUGGAGGUAUAGAACCAGUAAGCUCGUUUUCUUGUAGGUCUAGAAUAGUCAUGUAAAACAUAGUUUUUGAAAAGAGUAACGAUUCGCAUUGUCGUAAUGUUAAAGAUUGAUGGUGGUAUAGAGCCAGUAAGCUGGUUUUCUUGUAGGUCUAGGAUAGUUAUGUAACGAAGAUUACCGAGUUCUCGAGGGAUCUCUCCUUCAAGAAAAUUGCGCGCCACGCUCAAUCCUUCUAGUUUUGUUAGAUUGGAAAGGGAAGGUGGAAUUUUCCCACGAAAUUGGUU
RNAcentral lists this long non-coding RNA (468 nucleotides) under Nicotiana benthamiana. RNAcentral's name for it is "long non-coding RNA (NBEN_LNC027841)". Lineage: Eukaryota; Viridiplantae; Streptophyta; Magnoliopsida; Solanales; Solanaceae. The record is from RNAcentral.